GACAGGGAAGCAUAGCUGAGCCAUGAGGUAGCGUCAACUGGGACAAGCUGAGGUCCUAUAGCCUUGGUCCCUUUAACCUCAUUCUCUCCAUCACCACAGCACUGGGAAAACACUCACAGAAGGAAGCCAGCAGGUUUUGCCAGAUGGCUGACCGCGCUGACCCCAACCAUUCCCCACCUUUAACUCUUCCUUAAGAAAACAAGGAGCGGGCCAGCCAAUCAGUUUAUGGCUUCCUCUUGUUCAGCCAUGUUCUUUGGCUGUAAACUCCGUCUUGCUUGGCCAGCAUCCUCUAUUUUGGCUGGACUGAGGGUAGAGUAUUGCUUUUAUAGGUGCCUAUAAAACAGCCGGUAGAAUUUGGAUUAUUCAUGGAGAUGGUGCAAAAAGAAAAAUUAUGGAAACAGGAAGAAGAAGAAGAAGAAGAAGAAGAAGAAGAAGAAGAAGAAGAAGAAGAAGAAGAAGAAAAUACCAAACUCUUUCCUUGACCCUACAGCUGUGGAGGUAUACAUCUUUGAGAAAAGGAGAAAAACCAAGGGGAAGGGAAAAUACACAGCAUGGACAUGAUUGAAACAUGAAGGAGUUUUUAUUUCAGUCAUUAAAAAAACAUUUUUAUUUAUUUAAUUCUCAUAAACAAAGCAGGAGUUCUUUGCAAACGUACAAUUACAAACCAGCACUCAACCUCAUCUGUAAGCUAAUAACAUUAGCUCGCACCAUGUUAUUGGAAAGCACUGUUUGUUUUUCUCCAUCUGCUCUUUUGCGGAUGGCUCAUUCAAAUGAUGAGAUGGUUACUCCCACAGUAACUUAUCCCAUAAUUACUGUACUCUUGAAGUGUGUGACCCCUGGAUCUUGUGAUAGAAGGAUAUAUGUUUCCAUGCAGAGAGAGGUGGCUUGCAAAUGGUUGCAUUAACAACCUUGGAAGGCAUUCUCAAGAACACAUUGUCCUAGUAAAGGUAAAGGUACCCCUGCCCGUACGGGCCAGUCUUGACAGACUCUAGGGUUGUGCGCUCAUCU
Long non-coding RNA from Podarcis muralis (Common wall lizard), 1008 nucleotides. RefSeq lists it as uncharacterized. The record is from RefSeq and is a predicted model, not a curated record. Lineage: Eukaryota; Metazoa; Chordata; Lepidosauria; Squamata; Lacertidae.